Molecule: ribosomal RNA, 427 nt
Filed under: uncultured bacterium
Lineage: Bacteria
Description: bacterial SSU rRNA
Rfam family: Bacterial small subunit ribosomal RNA
Source: RNAcentral
UGGGGAAUAUUGCGCAAUGGGCAAAAGCCUGACGCAGCGACGCCGCGUGGGGGAUGAAGCUUCUCGGAGUGUAAACCCCUUUCGACCCGGACGAAUGACCCGCAAGGGUUUGACGGUACGGGUAUAAGAAGCCCCGGCUAACUACGUGCCAGCAGCCGCGGUAAUACGUAGGGGGCCAGCGUUGCUCGGAAUUACUGGGCGUAAAGGGUUCGUAGGUGGUGCGGUAAGUUGGGAGUGAAAUCUCCGGGCUUAACUCAGGGGCUGCUUUCAAAACUGCCGUGCUCGAGUGCGAGAGAGGUCAGUGGAAUUGCAGGUGUAGCGGUGAAAUGCGUAGAUAUCUGCAGGAACACCCGUGGCGAAGGCGGCUGACUGGAUCGCAACUGACACUGAGGAACGAAAGCUAGGGGAGCAAACAGGAUUAGAUACC